RNAcentral lists this long non-coding RNA (362 nucleotides) under Brassica napus (rape). RNAcentral describes it as "long non-coding RNA (BNAP_LNC026027)". Lineage: Eukaryota; Viridiplantae; Streptophyta; Magnoliopsida; Brassicales; Brassicaceae. The record is from RNAcentral.
AAGUUUUUAAUCUCCACUGUCGGAGCUCCAAUUGUCCGUGGAUUUUGUUCAUCGAGUUUGGUGGUGAUGGUCCUCAGUCCUCUGGUGCUGGCAUGAGCCUGAAUGGAAGACCGGAAGAGCCGUCGGAGCAAGAAUCAAAGUAGCCGGAGCUCAUAUAGUUUUGCCGGUGGAAGUCGUGAGUUCUCCCGAUCCCUUCUCUUGCCUCCACCGUUCUCCACCGUCGCUCUUCUCGUUACCGCUCUCUUCCUUCUUCUUGUUCAAUCCAUCUCCUUCCUCUACCGUCUUCUCCAUCAAACUCCAUCCUUGGUAAUUCACCAAUUAGGGUUCCGAAUUGAAACGAAGCGAAGGAUUGGAAUGAGGAA